AUGAACGCUGGCGGCGUGCCUAAUACAUGCAAGUCGAGCGAACAGAUGAGGAGCUUGCUCCUCUGACGUUAGCGGCGGACGGGUGAGUAACACGUGGAUAACCUACCUAUAAGACUGGGAUAACUUCGGGAAACCGGAGCUAAUACCGGAUAAUAUAUUGAACCGCAUGGUUCAAUAGUGAAAGACGGUUUUGCUGUCACUUAUAGAUGGAUCCGCGCCGCAUUAGCUAGUUGGUAAGGUAACGGCUUACCAAGGCAACGAUGCGUAGCCGACCUGAGAGGGUGAUCGGCCACACUGGAACUGAGACACGGUCCAGACUCCUACGGGAGGCAGCAGUAGGGAAUCUUCCGCAAUGGGCGAAAGCCUGACGGAGCAACGCCGCGUGAGUGAUGAAGGUCUUCGGAUCGUAAAACUCUGUUAUUAGGGAAGAACAAAUGUGUAAGUAACUAUGCACGUCUUGUCGGUACCUAAUCAGAAAGCCACGGCUAACUACGUG
Molecule: ribosomal RNA, 496 nt
Filed under: uncultured bacterium
Lineage: Bacteria
Description: partial 16S ribosomal RNA
Rfam family: Bacterial small subunit ribosomal RNA
Source: RNAcentral